RNAcentral lists this ribosomal RNA (583 nucleotides) under uncultured bacterium. Its description in RNAcentral is "bacterial SSU rRNA". It matches the Rfam family "Bacterial small subunit ribosomal RNA", at positions 9 to 639 of the family's 1533-position model. The record is from RNAcentral.
GAGUUUGAUCAUGGCUCAGGAUGAACGCUGGCGGCAUGGAUAAGGCAUGCAAGUCGCAAGGGUUAGACCCUUGGCAAACGGGUUAGUAAUACAUAGGAACGUACCCUGAAGUCGUGAAUAAUCCGGAGAAAUCCGGAAUAAUACACGAUAUGCUCUACGGAGUAAAGAUUUAUCGCUUCAGGAGCGGCCUGUGUCCUAUCAGCUAGUUGGUGGGGUAAUGGCCUACCAAGGCAAUGACGGGUAGGGGGUGUGAGAGCAUGGCCCCCAACAUUGGAACUGAGACACUGUCCAAACUCCUACGGGAGGCUGCAGUCGAGAAUAUUCGUCAAUGGGCGAAAGCCUGAACGAGCGAUGCCGCGUGUGGGAUGAAGGCCCUUGGGUCGUAAACCACUUUUGUUAUAGAAAAACUUACGUGAUGGUAUAUAGCGAAUAAGAGGUUACUAACUCUGUGCCAGCAGUAGCGGUAAUACAGAGACCUCAAGCGUUAUCCGGAUUUAUUGGGCGUAAAGAGCAGGUAGGUGGAAAUAUUAGUCAGAUGUCAAAUCCUUCGACUCAAUCGAAGAACUGCAUUUGAAACGGUAUU